This 466-nucleotide ribosomal RNA is filed under the name uncultured eubacterium WJGRT-35. RNAcentral's name for it is "bacterial SSU rRNA". It matches the Rfam family "Bacterial small subunit ribosomal RNA", at positions 42 to 505 of the family's 1533-position model. The record is from RNAcentral.
GCAUGCUUACACAUGCAAGUCGAACGGCAGCACGGGUGCUUGCACUGGUGGCGAGUGGCGAACGGGUGAGUAAUACAUCGGAACGUGCCCUGUAGUGGGGGAUAGCCCGCGAAAGUCGGACUAAUACCGCAUACGAUCUACGGAUGAAAGUGGGGGAUCUUCGGGCCUCGCGCUAUUGGAUUGGCGAUGGCUGAUUAGCUAGUUGGUGGGGUAAAAGCCUACCAAGGCGACGAUCAGUAGCUGGUCUGAGAGGACGACCAGCCACACUGGGACUGAGACACGGCCCAGACUCCUACGGGAGGCAGCAGUGGGGAAUUUUGGACAAUGGGCGAAAGCCUGAUCCAGCAAUGCCGCGUGAGUGAAGAAGGCCUUCGGGUUGUAAAGCACUUUUGUCCGGGAAGAAAUCCCUAGCUUUAAUAUAGUUGGGGGAUGACGGUACCUGAAGAAUAAGCACCGGCUAACUACG